CAAAGAUGCGGUUGAGUGAUAGC
RNAcentral lists this non-coding RNA (23 nucleotides) under Arabidopsis thaliana (thale cress). The record is from RNAcentral. Lineage: Eukaryota; Viridiplantae; Streptophyta; Magnoliopsida; Brassicales; Brassicaceae.